This is a non-coding RNA of Picea glauca (white spruce), 46 nucleotides long. Lineage: Eukaryota; Viridiplantae; Streptophyta; Pinopsida; Pinales; Pinaceae. The record is from Rfam.
GUAAUGGUGUCUUUAGACACCACCUCUUCUGUCUUCAAAAUUGUAU